GGUUAAGCGACUAAGCGUACACGGUGGAUGCCCUGGCAGUCAGAGGCGAUGAAGGACGUGCUAAUCUGCGAUAAGCGUCGGUAAGGUGAUAUGAACCGUUAUAACCGGCGAUUUCCGAAUGGGGAAACCCAGUGUGUUUCGACACACUAUCAUUAACUGAAUCCAUAGGUUAAUGAGGCGAACCGGGGGAACUGAAACAUCUAAGUACCCCGAGGAAAAGAAAUCAACCGAGAUUCCCCCAGUAGCGGCGAGCGAACGGGGAGCAGCCCAGAGCCUGAAUCAGUGUGUGUGUUAGUGGAAGCGUCUGGAAAGGCGCGCGAUACAGGGUGACAGCCCCGUACACAAAAAUGCACAUGCUGUGAGCUCGAUGAGUAGGGCGGGACACGUGGUAUCCUGUCUGAAUAUGGGGGGACCAUCCUCCAAGGCUAAAUACUCCUGACUGACCGAUAGUGAACCAGUACCGUGAGGGAAAGGCGAAAAGAACCCCGGCGAGGGGAGUGAAAAAGAACCUGAAACCGUGUACGUACAAGCAGUGGGAGCACGCUUAGGCGUGUGACUGCGUACCUUUUGUAUAAUGGGUCAGCGACUUAUAUUCUGUAGCAAGGUUAACCGAAUAGGGGAGCCGAAGGGAAACCGAGUCUUAACUGGGCGUUAAGUUGCAGGGUAUAGACCCGAAACCCGGUGAUCUAGCCAUGGGCAGGUUGAAGGUUGGGUAACACUAACUGGAGGACCGAACCGACUAAUGUUGAAAAAUUAGCGGAUGACUUGUGGCUGGGGGUGAAAGGCCAAUCAAACCGGGAGAUAGCUGGUUCUCCCCGAAAGCUAUUUAGGUAGCGCCUCGUGAAUUCAUCUCCGGGGGUAGAGCACUGUUUCGGCAAGGGGGUCAUCCCGACUUACCAACCCGAUGCAAACUGCGAAUACCGGAGAAUGUUAUCACGGGAGACACACGGCGGGUGCUAACGUCCGUCGUGAAGAGGGAAACAACCCAGACCGCCAGCUAAGGUCCCAAAGUCAUGGUUAAGUGGGAAACGAUGUGGGAAGGCCCAGACAGCCAGGAUGUUGGCUUAGAAGCAGCCAUCAUUUAAAGAAAGCGUAAUAGCUCACUGGUCGAGUCGGCCUGCGCGGAAGAUGUAACGGGGCUAAACCAUGCACCGAAGCUGCGGCAGCGACGCUUAUGCGUUGUUGGGUAGGGGAGCGUUCUGUAAGCCUGUGAAGGUGUGCUGUGAGGCAUGCUGGAGGUAUCAGAAGUGCGAAUGCUGACAUAAGUAACGAUAAAGCGGGUGAAAAGCCCGCUCGCCGGAAGACCAAGGGUUCCUGUCCAACGUUAAUCGGGGCAGGGUGAGUCGACCCCUAAGGCGAGGCCGAAAGGCGUAGUCGAUGGGAAACAGGUUAAUAUUCCUGUACUUGGUGUUACUGCGAAGGGGGGACGGAGAAGGCUAUGUUGGCCGGGCGACGGUUGUCCCGGUUUAAGCGUGUAGGCUGGUUUUCCAGGCAAAUCCGGAAAAUCAAGGCUGAGGCGUGAUGACGAGGCACUACGGUGCUGAAGCAACAAAUGCCCUGCUUCCAGGAAAAGCCUCUAAGCAUCAGGUAACAUCAAAUCGUACCCCAAACCGACACAGGUGGUCAGGUAGAGAAUACCAAGGCGCUUGAGAGAACUCGGGUGAAGGAACUAGGCAAAAUGGUGCCGUAACUUCGGGAGAAGGCACGCUGAUAUGUAGGUGAAGUCCCUUGCGGAUGGAGCUGAAAUCAGUCGAAGAUACCAGCUGGCUGCAACUGUUUAUUAAAAACACAGCACUGUGCAAACACGAAAGUGGACGUAUACGGUGUGACGCCUGCCCGGUGCCGGAAGGUUAAUUGAUGGGGUCAGCGCAAGCGAAGCUCUUGAUCGAAGCCCCGGUAAACGGCGGCCGUAACUAUAACGGUCCUAAGGUAGCGAAAUUCCUUGUCGGGUAAGUUCCGACCUGCACGAAUGGCGUAAUGAUGGCCAGGCUGUCUCCACCCGAGACUCAGUGAAAUUGAACUCGCUGUGAAGAUGCAGUGUACCCGCGGCAAGACGGAAAGACCCCGUGAACCUUUACUAUAGCUUGACACUGAACAUUGAGCCUUGAUGUGUAGGAUAGGUGGGAGGCUUUGAAGUGUGGACGCCAGUCUGCAUGGAGCCGACCUUGAAAUACCACCCUUUAAUGUUUGAUGUUCUAACGUUGACCCGUAAUCCGGGUUGCGGACAGUGUCUGGUGGGUAGUUUGACUGGGGCGGUCUCCUCCUAAAGAGUAACGGAGGAGCACGAAGGUUGGCUAAUCCUGGUCGGACAUCAGGAGGUUAGUGCAAUGGCAUAAGCCAGCUUGACUGCGAGCGUGACGGCGCGAGCAGGUGCGAAAGCAGGUCAUAGUGAUCCGGUGGUUCUGAAUGGAAGGGCCAUCGCUCAACGGAUAAAAGGUACUCCGGGGAUAACAGGCUGAUACCGCCCAAGAGUUCAUAUCGACGGCGGUGUUUGGCACCUCGAUGUCGGCUCAUCACAUCCUGGGGCUGAAGUAGGUCCCAAGGGUAUGGCUGUUCGCCAUUUAAAGUGGUACGCGAGCUGGGUUUAGAACGUCGUGAGACAGUUCGGUCCCUAUCUGCCGUGGGCGCUGGAGAACUGAGGGGGGCUGCUCCUAGUACGAGAGGACCGGAGUGGACGCAUCACUGGUGUUCGGGUUGUCAUGCCAAUGGCACUGCCCGGUAGCUAAAUGCGGAAGAGAUAAGUGCUGAAAGCAUCUAAGCACGAAACUUGCCCCGAGAUGAGUUCUCCCUGACUCUUUAAGGGUCCUGAAGGAACGUUGAAGACGACGACGUUGAUAGGCCGGGUGUGUAAGCGCAGCGAUGCGUUGAGCUAACCGGUACUAAUGAACCGUGAGGCUUAACCUU
This 2904-nucleotide ribosomal RNA is filed under the name Escherichia coli. RNAcentral describes it as "23S ribosomal RNA". It matches the Rfam family "Bacterial large subunit ribosomal RNA". The record is from RNAcentral. Lineage: Bacteria; Pseudomonadati; Pseudomonadota; Gammaproteobacteria; Enterobacterales; Enterobacteriaceae.